GAUGAACGCUAGCGGCAGGCCUAAUACAUGCAAGUCGGACGGGAUCCAUCGGUAGCUUGCUACCGAUGGUGAGAGUGGCGCACGGGUGCGUAACGCGUGAGCAACCUGCCCAUAUCAGGGGGAUAGCCCGGAGAAAUCCGGAUUAACACCGCAUGACACUGCUUUCCGGCAUCGGGAGGCGGUCAAAUAUUCAUAGGAUAUGGAUGGGCUCGCGUGACAUUAGCUAGUUGGUGGGGUAACGGCCCACCAAGGCGAAACGAUGUCUAGGGGCUCUGAGAGGAGAAUCCCCCACACUGGUACUGAGACACGGACCAGACUCCUACGGGAGGCAGCAGUAAGGAAUAUUGGUCAAUGGGGGCAACCCUGAACCAGCCAUGCCGCGUGCAGGACGACUGCCCUAUGGGUUGUAAACUGCUUUUGUUAGGGAAUAAACCCCGCUACGUGUAGCGGGCUGAAUGUACCUAAAGAAUAAGGAUCGGCUAACUCCGUGCC
RNAcentral lists this ribosomal RNA (492 nucleotides) under uncultured bacterium. Its description in RNAcentral is "bacterial SSU rRNA". It matches the Rfam family "Bacterial small subunit ribosomal RNA", at positions 28 to 509 of the family's 1533-position model. The record is from RNAcentral.